GAUGAAGAAGGUAGCGAAAUGCGAUACGUAAUGUGAAUUGCAGAAUUCAGUGAAUCAUCGAGUCUUUGAACGCACAUUGCGCCCUCUGGUAUUCCGGAGGGCAUGCCUGUCCGAGCGUCAUUGCUGCCCUCAAGCACGGCUUGUGUGUUGGGCUCCGUCCCCCGAUCCCGGGGGACGGGCCCGAAAGGCAGCGGCGGCACCGCGUCCGGUCCUCGAGCGUAUGGGGCUUUGUCACCCGCUCUGUAGGCCCGGCCGGCGCUUGCCGAUCAACCAAAUUUUUAUCCAGGUUGACCUCGGAUCAGGUAGGGAUACCCGCUGAACUUAAGCAUAUCAAUAAGCGGAGGA
This 345-nucleotide unclassified non-coding RNA is filed under the name soil metagenome. RNAcentral describes it as "partial contains 5.8S ribosomal RNA, internal transcribed spacer 2, and large subunit ribosomal RNA". The stretch from base 1 to 120 matches the Rfam family "5.8S ribosomal RNA", at positions 35 to 154 of the family's 154-position model. The record is from RNAcentral.